This 547-nucleotide ribosomal RNA is filed under the name uncultured bacterium. RNAcentral describes it as "partial 16S ribosomal RNA". It matches the Rfam family "Bacterial small subunit ribosomal RNA", at positions 355 to 895 of the family's 1533-position model. The record is from RNAcentral.
UGGGGAAUUUUGGACAAUGGGGGAAACCCUGAUCCAGCCAUCCCGCGUGUGCGAUGAAGGCCUUCGGGUUGUAAAGCACUUUUGGCAGGAAAGAAACGUCGCGGGUUAAUACCCCGCGAAACUGACGGUACCUGCAGAAUAAGCACCGGCUAACUACGUGCCAGCAGCCGCGGUAAUACGUAGGGUGCAAGCGUUAAUCGGAAUUACUGGGCGUAAAGCGUGCGCAGGCGGUUCGGAAAGAAAGAUGUGAAAUCCCAGAGCUUAACUUUGGAACUGCAUUUUUAACUACCGGGCUAGAGUGUGUCAGAGGGAGGUGGAAUUCCGCGUGUAGCAGUGAAAUGCGUAGAUAUGCGGAGGAGCACCGAUGGCGAAGGCAGCCUCCUGGGAUAACACUGACGCUCAUGCACGAAAGCGUGGGGAGCAAACAGGAUUAGAUACCCUGGUAGUCCACGCCCUAAACGAUGUCAACUAGCUGUUGGGGCCUUCGGGCCUUGGUAGCGCAGCUAACGCGUGAAGUUGACCGCCUGGGGAGUACGGUCGCAAGAUU